RNAcentral lists this long non-coding RNA (588 nucleotides) under Homo sapiens (human). RNAcentral describes it as "non-protein coding lnc-ZFHX3-4:1". Lineage: Eukaryota; Metazoa; Chordata; Mammalia; Primates; Hominidae. The record is from RNAcentral.
CUGUGCUUGGCCAUUUUUGUCUUUUUUAAUUUUAAUUUUUUGGGCAUGAAACCAAUUACAUCUCAUUUUAAAACUUUCUGACUUUUGCCUUUUUUUUUUUUUUUUUUGAGACAGUCCUGCUCUGUCACCCAGGUUGUAGUACAAUGGCAUGACGUCAGCUCACCGCAACCUCCGCCUCCCAGGUUCAAGUGAUUCUCCUGAAAAACAAGUGUGAAACUUGAUCAAAUGGGAAUCUGAAGUAUAGCUUUUCUUGGAGACUAAGUUCUUGGGGCAGUUGACUAGAGGACAUGAUGUUUCUUGAUCACAAAGCUUUUUUGAUGACAAAGAUUCACAUAUUGUAAGUGUACAGUUUGAUGAAUUUUUAUAACCUAAAGAUACCUAUGUAACUAGCACCUUGAUCAAGAAACAAAACAUAACUGCUACUCUUUCUCUUAGUCCUUGCAUCUAAACUAAACAUCGGGCUCUAUCCACCUAGCUAAAUUUUAGUUGAGUAUUAUGUAAUUUAGAUUUAAAAACUAUGUGAAGAGCAAGACUACUUAGUAUUUAUGCAAAAUAUCCAGGUAGUUAUAUUAUUUUCAUCUUUGGCAU